This 450-nucleotide ribosomal RNA is filed under the name uncultured bacterium. RNAcentral describes it as "bacterial SSU rRNA". It matches the Rfam family "Bacterial small subunit ribosomal RNA", at positions 354 to 796 of the family's 1533-position model. The record is from RNAcentral.
GUGGGGAAUUUUGGACAAUGGGCGCAAGCCUGAUCCAGCAAUGCCGCGUGCAGGAAGAAGGCCUUCGGGUUGUAAACUGCUUUUGUACGGAACGAAACGGUCCGGGUUAAUACCCUGGGCUAAUGACGGUACCGUAAGAAUAAGCACCGGCUAACUACGUGCCAGCAGCCGCGGUAAUACGUAGGGUGCAAGCGUUAAUCGGAAUUACUGGGCGUAAAGCGUGCGCAGGCGGUUUUGUAAGACAGGCGUGAAAUCCCCGGGCUCAACCUGGGAAUUGCGCUUGUGACUGCAAGGCUGGAGUGCGGCAGAGGGGGAUGGAAUUCCGCGUGUAGCAGUGAAAUGCGUAGAUAUGCGGAGGAACACCGAUGGCGAAGGCAAUCCCCUGGGCCUGCACUGACGCUCAUGCACGAAAGCGUGGGGAGCAAACAGGAUUAGAAACCCUGGUAGUCC